This 553-nucleotide ribosomal RNA is filed under the name Aureobasidium proteae. Its description in RNAcentral is "eukaryotic LSU rRNA". It matches the Rfam family "Eukaryotic large subunit ribosomal RNA", at positions 90 to 658 of the family's 3401-position model. Lineage: Eukaryota; Fungi; Ascomycota; Dothideomycetes; Dothideales; Saccotheciaceae. The record is from RNAcentral.
CGAGUGAAGCGGCAACAGCUCAAAUUUGAAAGCUAGCCUUCGGGUUCGCAUUGUAAUUUGUAGAGGAUGAUUUGGGGAAGCCGCCUGUCUAAGUUCCUUGGAACAGGACGUCAUAGAGGGUGAGAAUCCCGUAUGUGACAGGAAAUGGCACCCUAUGUAAAUCUCCUUCGACGAGUCGAGUUGUUUGGGAAUGCAGCUCUAAAUGGGAGGUAAAUUUCUUCUAAAGCUAAAUAUUGGCGAGAGACCGAUAGCGCACAAGUAGAGUGAUCGAAAGAUGAAAAGCACUUUGGAAAGAGAGUUAAAAAGCACGUGAAAUUGUUGAAAGGGAAGCGCUUGCAAUCAGACUUGUUUAAACUGUUCGGCCGGUCUUCUGACCGGUUUACUCAGUUUGGACAGGCCAGCAUCAGUUUCGGCGGCCGGAUAAAGGCUCUGGGAAUGUGGCCUCCACUUCGGUGGAGGUGUUAUAGCCCAGGGUGUAAUACGGCCAGCCGGGACUGAGGUCCGCGCUUCGGCUAGGAUGCUGGCGUAAUGGUUGUAAGCGACCCGUCUUGAA